GGUCAGGCUGGCAAAAUACGAUGACUGCGGGCCAAAUAGGAGCUUGCGUGCCUCAGCAUUGCUUGCGACACUUGCAAAGUUUCCACUGGAGAUCAAACUAGGAUGUUAUUACUCAUGACAACAUCAGAGAAAUGAUCACCUCAGCCCUAACAGUUUCACAUUUUUGAUUGUAUUUCUCAUUACGAUGACAAUCCAGGUCCAGAAAUGAAAGUCCGUGCCACGGUUCGGCUUUAGCCGCAGAUGCCUCCAAUCAAGCUCCGACAAGCACCUCCGGACCCGGCCGGACCUUCCUGGACCUGGAUCCAAAGAAGCCGUCGCACGGCUGUACAUGUUGUCGCCUGCAAAAUGAGAAGAACAGCAGAUGCGCGUUCAAGGCCGAGUGUUUCCCUCCGCAAAUGGGAGGCGGGCGAGCGGGCGGGCGGGCGGGAGUCCACCUUUGAGUUCGUCGGCGGCAAAGAAGGCGGCUAGGCAGUCCUCCAAGGUCACCAUGGGCCCCCAGAACCAGCUGGGUAUGCACGAGACCACGAACCUAGCCCCGAGCAGACGCCACGUUAGCCACGUUAGCGCCGGCGAAGGUCGGCGGCGUCGUUGUGACCGACCGGCGAAUGGAAUCCAUGAUGAAGGAGAUCCAGCCCUGCGAGCCGUACGCGUCGGGACACGCGUUGGUCUUGACGGGCAGGUUCUGAUGGAUGGAGGAGUGGAGCUUGGCCAAGUCCUCUUUACCAGGGAUGGGCAAGGACAGGUCUUGGAAGGUCUCCACUGUCGUAGACACCUGCCGGGCGGCGGCGCAAUUCUCGUACCCGUGGACGAUGUCGCUGGAUGAAGUCACUCACCCUGUCGCAGGUCAGACACUGGACCAGGCUGAGGAUGGAGCCGUCAAAGAUGUCGGAGAUGACGCUGCGAUAGAGACACUGUUUCUUCUUCCGGGAGGUCAGCGGCGGAUGAUAUUUGAAUAACUGGAGCGAGCCACCUUUCUUGUACGGGUACGAGGAGGCUGCGGAGCGCAGCGGGCUGGAGGAGCGUUUGGAAUGAAGCUCCUGAAGGGUUCUCACAGGGCUGCAGGGGCUGGAAUGCGGUGGCGGCGGCGGCCCCACUUCGUUGUCCGGCUCUGGUCAAAUGCAUUUGGUUUGCAUCAUUUUCUGAAAAAGAAGCUCCUGCACCAGCUCUUCCUCCUCAGCGCUCGCGGGAACCGCGGUGUCCACGUCGGCGUCCUCGUCCAUGUCCUGGGAGGUUCCGCGAAGGGGCGAGCCGGAGACCCGCCUCUCCUUCAGCCUCUCCUUUUCCGAGAUGCCGCCGCCCACGGGGCCGUCGCGUUCGUCCUGCGCCUCGCCGCCGCGGUCGGAGCUGGAGUCGCAGGACAGGAAGUCUUCCUCGACAGGCGAGCGGUCGCCGUCCAGCCUCUCGUCGCCGUCGCUACUCUCGCCGCCGCACUCGGUGAGUGGCGCCUUCAGUUCCUCGUGGAGCUGGUCCAUCAGACAGCGCAGGAACUCUUGCGUGUCCUUUUGCACAGUGACAAGUCAUUGCCGGAUGGAGACGAGCGAUUGGGGAAAGUGCUUACCUGUUGGGCGUAACCGCGAAACAUUGGGUUCAGAAGCUUGAUGCCGUGGGACAGGCUGGUCGGGAUCACGUAGCUGGGCCUGCAAAAGCGUGGUCAGACACCCGGCCUCGCCGCCAAAAUGCUUUUGAUGACUUACCGAUUUUUAUGCCACAGCUCCGAGAUGAGUUUCUGGUAGCACUUGCAGAGAGCCGGCUUCUUGUCGGAGCGGACCAGCCCGGCGCAAUCCAGGAAGUACUGCGUGAGAGGAGGACUG
Long non-coding RNA from Syngnathus acus (greater pipefish), 1811 nucleotides. RefSeq lists it as uncharacterized. The record is from RefSeq and is a predicted model, not a curated record. NCBI's taxonomy places the organism in Eukaryota, Metazoa, Chordata, Actinopteri, Syngnathiformes, Syngnathidae. The transcript has 4 exons.